RNAcentral lists this long non-coding RNA (4709 nucleotides) under Homo sapiens (human). RNAcentral describes it as "non-protein coding CAHM:3". Lineage: Eukaryota; Metazoa; Chordata; Mammalia; Primates; Hominidae. The record is from RNAcentral.
GCUGCCUGCUGCCCGCCGCCCCGCGACCGGGGCAGCCGCCGGCGCCGCGCCCCCUCCUCCCUGCCUCCCCGGCGGGGCGGGCGACGGGGGCAACGGGAGUGUGACGGACUGCGGCGCUCGGCGGGCCUGGGCGCAAGGACUGGGUCGCCGCCGUGCGGGGCGCCCGGGGCGGGUGGGUGUGGGCUGCGGGGCCGACGGCCGCGGGGGGGGCGCGGGGCUUUCCACGGCACGGGGCGGGUGGGGCUGCGGGCGCGGUCGGGGCUGGCGCGGCAGGCGAGAGGAAUUCCAGCGGGACGCGCCAGCGCUGCCUCCGCCUCGCCUCCCGUUACUAUAGUUUUUUCAGAACCUCUUAUCCACCCCGCAGAAGAGAAAUUUUUUUUUAACGUCCUGUUGCUUCACGGGGGACUUUCGGGGUGGGCAUCACGUGGCCCGACACGUAGCCGUGGGGCUCCAGAGCGCGUGCGCGCGUCGAGCCCGGUCGCCACGCCCCUUCCGAGGGUCGCUCCGCCCCCGUCGGGCCCCGCGAGCGCGCGGUGGGGGAGGGGAGGGCCCCGGAGCGCGCCUGCGUGGGGCGGGGGCGGCAGCCGACUAGGGGCUGGGUCUGGCCGUUUAGGGCCGGGUCUUGGCCCGUCGCCCACGGUGCGGAGGGCUGGUGGGCUUUCCUUGGCCGUCGGGCCCGCCACGGCGCGGGUCUUGGCUGCGGGGCGGAGGUGGGGCGGGAGAGCCGAGGAUAAGAGUUUGAGGCUUUUCGAGGCGCGUGCCGCGGCGUCCGCCUCUGCGGGACUCUGCGCCGGGCGCCCUCGGCCGGCGCGCCCGGCUCCCGCUUUGUCGCCGAGGGAAGCACGCGCGACGCCCCUCCCGUCGCCGCCGUGGCUUCUUUCGGUGUUCGUGAUUUGCUGAGAGGCUGGAAAGCAGCACGGCGGAGAGGAGCCUUGCACUCGCCAGGCGGGAAGCCUGCGCGGACACGCGUGCGCACCCACGGGGCGGCGGGCGGGCGUGGGGGGUCCGGGCCACGCGGGCGACGCGCCUCUAGGGAAGCGAUCUUGUUGCACCUUCCCGUUAUUCUGAAAGCAAAUCGUAGCCAGACCCGAGCGCAGCGGCUUAGCAAAUAAUAAGGGGAGCGUCAGUCGUGCUCGAAAUGCUUCCUUCGCGAUGGCGUCAGUGUUCCGUGAGGGAAUGAAGCCGCAGUAGGAAAUAAAGAGGCUGUGCGCGUAGUCUGAAAAGCAGAAGUCAACAUUUUUACAGAUGAAGAAAGAAUACGGAGGCAAGAGGUCUUUCUCUGCAGUUUGGUGGAUUUCCAACAUUUAGACUUGUUUGGAAGAAUUUCCUCAGCUGCACCAAUGAAGUCCUUGAUCUAUAGAAGUCGGCAGUCCCUAAAUCUACGUCUGCAUUUUGUUGCAAAUCCUUUAUAACAUUCCAUUAAAAUAAUGCAGAGUUAUUUAAUAUCCAGUUGGCCAUCGUGAGAGUAAUUCGCGGCUGAGAUUUUGUUAAUCAUUCUGUCUUCUGACUUAACAGUGAACGUAGGUGAUUUUUUUUGUAAAAUGUUGCUUCACAUGAAUUGUGAGAAUCACCUCUAAGUUUGAAUUGUACUGAAGGCACUAUAAGAAUUUCAAAUGAACGCUGAGUAGCCAGUAGCCUUCUGGCCUUUUCGUUUAACAAGCACAGAGUUCGUUUUUAAAAUUAAGUUACUUUGACAGAGGAAAUGUAAUAGCCUUGGUAGACAACAUUAAAAAUGUAACUGUCAGAUGUUUUAAAGUCUCCAACAGCCGUAUCUGUUUUAGAGCCAUAGAAUAUUUACUUACUGAAUUGCCUGUUUAAAGAUGAACUUUCUAAAUGCAGGGAAUAGUAACUUGCAAAAAAGCUAUGGUCUCUAAGUAAUGAAGGCUGUUUCAGUACCUAGAAAAAUCAAAAUCAAGGUUUUGAUGCUGCUAGUGUAAAAGAUGCAAUCCCCUUCUUAAUGGCCUGCUUAUUUAUUAAGCUCCUAGGCACUAUGCUGAAUGCCCUACAUGCAUAUCUCGUUUAAUCAUCAGUACAACUUGGGCUUAGGUUAGACUGUUAUCCCCAUUUUACAAAUAAGGGGAAACCCAAGAAAGAUGAAGUUAAGUAACUUGCCCAAGAAUAUAGCUAGUGAGUCCUGUGUCUGGGAUUAUAAUCCAAUUAUAUUUUAUUCUAAAGCUUUUUUUUUUUUUUUUGCUUUUUUUCCUUGCCCUAUCCUUUAAAUCAGGUUGAAUUUUAUGACAAUAUUCCACCAUUUUUGACCCAUAGAAAUGGCAGUGUCAUAAGGCUCAACCACUUAAACCAGAUUAAAGAACAAUGAUAGGCAAUUUUCAUUUCCUAUGUAUUAAAUCACUUACGGUUACAGCAUUUGAUAAUAGCUACUGUGUGUUAAUUUUCUUUUUUUUGAAACAGAAUUUCGCUCUUGUCACCCAGGCUGGAGUGCAAUGGCGCGAUCUCGGCUCACUGCAACCUCUGCCUCCCCGGUUCAAGUGAUUCUCCUGCCCCAGCCUCCCGAGCAGCUGGGAUUACAGGCAUGCGCCACCACGCCUAGCUAAUUUUGUAUUUUUAGUAGAGACGGGGGUUUCUCCAUGUUGGUCAGGCUGGUCUCGAACUCCCGACCUCAGGUGAUCCGCCCCCCUCAACCUCCCAAAGUGCUGGGAUUACAGGCGUGAGCCACGUGCCUGGCAGGUUACCUUUUCAAAUCUAUGUAGAUCACCUCAUUUCCUGACAGUCCCUCAAUGGUUUCUUAUCUCAAAAAAAAAAAAAAAAAAAAGGAAAGAAAGAAAAAAUCCGAAGAGCUUACCAAGUCCUGCAAGACGACAGGUGUGCCCCUGGUGCAUCACUGACCUUAUGUCCUUCUCCUCCCACAGCCCACUUGGCUGCACCCCCGUGGAAUCCGUCUGGAUCCUUAAAUAUUCCAAGCAUGCUUACCCUCCCCAGGACUCUGCCCUUGGUGUUUGCUCUCCUCGGAAAGCUUUUCCCCAUACAUCGGCGACCCCUGCCCCUAUUUAUCUUUAGAAGGUGUCCCUUAACACCCUAUGUAAAAUGGCGCCUUUGUGCACGCAAACACUUCCUCCCUUCUUCCAUCUGCUUACCCCAGGUUCUUUUCAUACCAUUUGUUUCCACGUAACAAUGGGUCAACUCGUUUGCCACUGGCAUCAACAUUGUAAGCUCCAUGAGAAAAAGGAGUUUCUUCUAUUAGGAAUUUCCAACACCUAGAUCAGCAUAUGGUACACGUAGGCACUUAUUAAAUAUAUGUCCAAAAGAAGUAUUAAGUACUUGUUAUGGACCAGAAGCUCUGCAAAACCCUUAUCUUCAUUGUUUAUUUUCAUCCUUACAGCCAAUAUUUGAGGUAGGCAGGAAGAGCCAUAUUUCAGAGAUGAGAGGGCUGAUGCUUAGGAGGAGUAAGUAGCUGCAGAGGGUCGGGUGCGGUGUUUGUGCCAGUAAUCCCAGCAUUUUGGGAGGCCAAGACAGGUGGAUCACUUGAGCCCGGGAUUUUGAAACCAGUCUAGGCAACAUAGUGAGACCCUAUCUCUCUAGAAAAUACAAAAAUUAACAGAGUCUGGUGUCACAUACCUGUAGACCCAGCUACUUGGGAGAUUGAGGUGGGAGGAUCAGGGAGGCAGAGGUUGCAGUGAGCUGUGAUCACACCAUUGCACUCCAGCCUGGGCAACAGAGCAAGAUCCCGUCUCAAAAAAAAAAAUGUAGAAAGACUAACUUUGUAAUAAUUACAUUAUUACAAAAAUGUUAUCUUAAUACAGUAUUGAAAAUAAAUUACAACAUGUAGUGAGUAUAUAUACAGAAUGAGCCUCCAGUUGAAGAUCCCUAUAAUAGGUUUUUUCACUGUGAAAAAUUGUCAUCUAAUAUGUUGACACUAAAAAUGGUUCCACAUUCUAACAUCAGUAAUUAACCAGGCGUGGAAACAUAUUUUCUAUUCUGUUAAAUUUGAUUGGCUCUAUUUGCUUAUUGCUAUUCUUAACAUUUAAAAUAGAAAUUUGCAGUAUUCCAAACCUUUCUUUAUCACCAUAGAGUUCUCGAAAGAACUAUAAUGUUCCUUGGAUAUAAGAUUUAGGGUUUUAUGGCUUUUUGUCCCAGUGUUCUUUUUAAAAAUCUUAGUCUUUAGAUUUUCCUAAAAGGAAUUGGGGCAUUCUUGGUAUCUUCGCAAAAUAAUUGUUUAUUGUCUUAAUAGAUUUGAGCAUCCUUUUAAAUUACGAGAUGGCGCUUUUUUUUUUUUUUUUUACUUUUUAAAAUUUUUUUUACUUUUAAAUUGUGAGAUGGCUUAUCAGGUACUAUUUAAAAGAUUGAAAAUGAAACAUUUCAAAUGUGAAUAUCUUAAAUAUUUCCAGUACCUGUUAUAUGUAAAUGCAUAUCAUUAACCCUAAGGCAUUUACAGGCUGAGCUGGGAGUUAAUAGCAUGUGCAGGUACAUUUAAAAAGUUAACUAAUAACUGCCACGUAAAGGCUAAAGACAAAAAUGCUGUGAAAAUACCGGUGAGCACCAACAUUGCCUGCCCGGAAGCCAUUGUAAGACCACACCGGGGAGGUGGAUUUGAUCUCGAGGCGGAGCAAAGAGUGUUGGGAGACAGCAAUGACAGAACUUGGGAAGUGGAAAAGUACGAGGUGUUAGGGUAGGAGUUUCCACAGAGAGUAUUUGAUGCCAGAUUUUGGUUGGCCUUGAACAUCAAACUAGAGUGUUUGUAGGGGAAGAGCCUU